Molecule: ribosomal RNA, 644 nt
Filed under: uncultured Bacteroidales bacterium
Lineage: Bacteria; Pseudomonadati; Bacteroidota; Bacteroidia; Bacteroidales
Description: bacterial SSU rRNA
Rfam family: Bacterial small subunit ribosomal RNA
Source: RNAcentral
CAGGGUAGCAUUACCGCUGACGACCGGCGCACGGGUGAGUAACACGUAUCCAACCUACCAUUCACACGGGGAUAGCCUUUCGAAAGAAAGAUUAAUACCCGAUAGUAUAGCGAUAAGGCAUCUUAUUGCUAUUAAAGAAUUUCGGUGUUUGAUGGGGAUGCGUUCCAUUAGAUUGUUGGUGAGGUAACGGCUCGCCAAGUCUUCGAUGGAUAGGGGUUCUGAGAGGAAGGUCCCCCACAUUGGAACUGAGACACGGUCCAAACUCCUACGGGAGGCAGCAGUGAGGAAUAUUGGUCAAUGGACGAGAGUCUGAACCAGCCAAGUAGCGUGAAGGAUGAAGGCCCUAUGGGUCGUAAACUUCUUUUAUAGGGGAAUAAAGUGCGGAACGUGUUCCGCUUUGUAUGUACCCUACGAAUAAGGAUCGGCUAACUCCGUGCCAGCAGCCGCGGUAAUACGGAGGAUCCGAGCGUUAUCCGGAUUUAUUGGGUUUAAAGGGAGCGUAGGUGGACGUAUAAGUCAGUUGUGAAAGUUUGCGGCUCAACCGUAAAAUUGCAGUUGAUACUGUAUGUCUUGAGUGUACAAGAGGUGGGCGGAAUUCGUGGUGUAGCGGUGAAAUGCUUAGAUAUCACGAAGAACUCCGAUUG